Molecule: non-coding RNA, 1051 nt
Organism: Equus caballus (horse)
Lineage: Eukaryota; Metazoa; Chordata; Mammalia; Perissodactyla; Equidae
Source: RefSeq, a predicted model, not a curated record
GAGGGUAGGAGGAUGUACCUCAAGUUCUUUCUCCAACUGGGCCCGAAGCUCCUCCAUCCCCGUGGGCAGCACUAGCCGGGAGGGCAGAGAGGUGGAGCGUCUCAACAGCAUGGGAUUGGCACCGUUGAGGAACUGGCCCUCACCAUUUACCACCAUUCUUGGAUCUCCCAGGCCUGUUCCACUCUGAGCUCCAGGCAUUUUCUCACCCUGCCUUCAUUGUCCAUUCAAAGUCCCGUCUCUUCUCCUCGUGGAAUCUCAUAUUUGGAGCUUUCAGGCGCUCCCUCCCAAGUCCCCGCCCCAGACUAGUCCGAACCUGCGAGCCGCAGAGCAGGCUGUGGGCAAGGGCCGUGCCUCCCCGUCGGAGCGUAGCUGCGGGAAGAUUAAAGGGGCCCUGGCCUGGGCGAGGAGGAAAGGAUGGAUGCGCUGGACUUCUCUGGAUCUCCGGGGUGGUGUCUUGGGCCCUUUGGACAAAUUUACCUCCUCGUCGUCCACCAACUCUGCAUACCAAACGAGUAUUGGGCUGGCAGUGGGAAAGGGGAGGGUGUGACAGGGAAGAGAGAGCCUUUGUGGGACCUCAAAAGGAUGCUGGAGAGGUGACAUUCAAGGCUCAGGGAAGAGUCAGAGUUUGCUCCCAGGGAGCUAUGUGUCCCUUCAGAGAGAAAAAAACUGGCAGAUGCUUGUCCCUUUGCUGCCCGUGCUCCUCUUCCUCCCAUCUCUGCUGUUCCCAUCCUAGCAGGUAUGCCCAAGUCAAGCCCGAAGAGACUGCUCAGCUUUCUGUAGAAUCAUGGAAGCAUCUACAAUCAUGAAUACACUCCUAGGAGUGGUUGGUUUUGGUUGUUUAAAAAAUCUGUGCUGCACUAUAUACAUUUGCAGCUUGCUUUUCUCACUUAAGAAAUGUAUCUCAUGGAAAUCUCUGUAGUUCAAUGGUUAUACAGUAGUGCCCCCUUAUCCGCGGUUUCGCUUUCGUGGUUUCAGUUACCUGCGGUCAACCAUGGUCCGAAAAUAUUAAAUGGAAAAUUCCAAAAAUAAACAAUUUAUAAUUUUUAAAUUG